CCAGAUGUGAAGCAGCUUCUUGAUCUUGUGGAGAGUCCAGACUGUAGACUGGAGACUCUGAGGUGGAAGUUUACAUAAACAGGACGGUUUGUGAGAUGAGAGAGGAUGAGCUGAGUCCUGAUGAUCCAGAGGUUGAAUCAGCAGCAGCUUGUGUGUAGAGAGACUCUGACUGGACCAUGUUACUGGGAGGUGGAGUCAAGAGGAGAGUUUCAUCCACAUGUUUCUCAUUUAACAUCAUCAACAGAGCUGCAAUCAAUCUAUUCUAACAGAACCAACAAAUAAAUAAAUAAAUGAUUCAGACACAUUAAAACCAACAUAUUCUAUGUAAAUCUAAAGUUCCGGCAUCAAUAAUCCUUAUUCCUCUUGUUUUUUUGUUGCUGAUUGUGUAUAUAUUUGUCCCAUCUGUAUUGUAAUUUGUGUCAUGUGGUUGUCAUUUUACAGUGUAUCUUUGUUGUCAUUUGGUUGUAAAGUAAAAUAUCUCCUGGUUGUAAUUUUUA
Molecule: long non-coding RNA, 497 nt
Organism: Mugil cephalus (flathead mullet)
Lineage: Eukaryota; Metazoa; Chordata; Actinopteri; Mugiliformes; Mugilidae
Exons: 2
Source: RefSeq, a predicted model, not a curated record